This is a non-coding RNA of Manis javanica (Malayan pangolin), 489 nucleotides long. The record is from RefSeq and is a predicted model, not a curated record. NCBI's taxonomy places the organism in Eukaryota, Metazoa, Chordata, Mammalia, Pholidota, Manidae.
ACCAGUGAUUUCAUGCUGCAGGCAUCCCUCCCCAGAUGGCUGGCCAGGCAGCCCAGCAGGGCAAGACCCCUCCUGCUCACGGAGCUGGAGCAAACUCAGGGGUAAAGCUUAGCAGUUAGCUCUCACUUCCUCCUGCAGCCUUCAGUGGGUCGGGUCCCCACAGCCUCUGCAGCCUGACUGUCCCUUUCUCUGCUUUCCACCACCAAAGCCAGCAAAUGUAAAUAACGGCAUGGAGAGAGUGGGAGGUCCCUGAAGCCAGGGGCCCAGGAUUCUGGUUGCUCUUUCUGCAUCAGAGAGAAACAUCAAACACCCAUCUACCUUCAAAAGAAAAGCCACCAACAUAAAGUGUGAUUCCACAGCUAGAACAAACUGAACGGAGGAGCAGGCCAUGCUUCCUACUCAGUGGUACUAGAACAAGGUUGGUCACUUGAAGAGGACAGCUGAGUGUAUGCACGGUUAUUAUUCAGUAAAAGUCUGCCUCUGACUCAG